Aricia agestis (brown argus) is the source of this 90-nucleotide long non-coding RNA. RefSeq lists it as uncharacterized. The transcript is spliced from 3 exons. Lineage: Eukaryota; Metazoa; Arthropoda; Insecta; Lepidoptera; Lycaenidae. The record is from RefSeq and is a predicted model, not a curated record.
UUUAUAUAUCAUAAUCAUUUUCCUAAUUCUCGUGCCUAGAGAGCACUAAGUCAAUUUGAGACAUUUUGAGUAUUUUCAACUUUGGUGUUU